AUUGAACGCUGGCGGCAUGCCUUACACAUGCAAGUCGAACGGUAACAGGUCUUCGGAUGCUGACGAGUGGCGAACGGGUGAGUAAUACAUCGGAACGUGCCUAGUAGUGGGGGAUAACUACUCGAAAGAGUGGCUAAUACCGCAUGAGAUCUACGGAUGAAAGCAGGGGAUCGCAAGACCUUGUGCUACUAGAGCGGCCGAUGGCAGAUUAGGUAGUUGGUGGGAUAAAAGCUUACCAAGCCGACGAUCUGUAGCUGGUCUGAGAGGACGAUCAGCCACACUGGGACGGAGAAACGGCCCAGACUCCUACGGGAGGCAGCAGUGGGGAACUUUGGACAAUGGGCGCAAGCCUGAUCCAGCAAUGCCGCGUGCAGGAUGAAGGCCUUCGGGUUGUAAACUGCUUUUGUACGGAACGAAAAGCCCCGGGUUAAUACCCUGGGGUCAUGACGGUACCGUAAGAAUAAGCACCGGCUAACUACGUGCCAGCAGCCGCCGUAA
RNAcentral lists this ribosomal RNA (498 nucleotides) under uncultured bacterium. Its description in RNAcentral is "partial 16S ribosomal RNA". It matches the Rfam family "Bacterial small subunit ribosomal RNA", at positions 30 to 523 of the family's 1533-position model. The record is from RNAcentral.